RNAcentral lists this ribosomal RNA (465 nucleotides) under uncultured bacterium. RNAcentral describes it as "partial 16S ribosomal RNA". It matches the Rfam family "Bacterial small subunit ribosomal RNA", at positions 28 to 507 of the family's 1533-position model. The record is from RNAcentral.
GACGAACGCUGGCGGCGUGCUUAACACAUGCGAGUCGAACGGAAAGGCCCUGCUUGCAGGGUACUCGAGUGGCGAACGGGUGAGUAACACGUGGGUGAUCUGCCCUGCACUUCGGGAUAAGCCUGGGAAACUGGGUCUAAUACCGGAUAGGAGCCAUUUUUAGUGUGAUGGUUGGAAAGUUUUUUCGGUGUAGGAUGAGCUCGCGGCCUAUCAGCUUGUUGGUGGGGUAAUGGCCUACCAAGGCGGCGACGGGUAGCCGGCCUGAGAGGGUGGACGGCCACAUUGGGACUUAGAGACGGCCCAGACUCCGACGGGAGGCAGCAGUGGGGAAGAUUGCACAAUGGGCGCAAGCCUGAUGCAGCGACGCCGCGUGGGGGAUGACGGCCUUCGGGUUGUAAACGCCUUUCGCUAGGGACGAAGCUUUUUGUGACGGUACCUAGAUAAGAAGCACCGGCUAACUACGUG